RNAcentral lists this ribosomal RNA (1095 nucleotides) under Triticum aestivum (bread wheat). Its description in RNAcentral is "partial small subunit ribosomal RNA". The record is from RNAcentral. Lineage: Eukaryota; Viridiplantae; Streptophyta; Magnoliopsida; Poales; Poaceae.
AUGGCCGCCGCUGCGGCGGGCAAGCGGCCCAGCUGCGCCGUCGUGCUCGGCUUGCUGCUGGCGGCCGCGUCGGCCGCCGGCGCCGAGUUCAUCACGUGGGAGGACCUGACCAUGCCGGCCGUGGCGGGGCUCAUCCGCGGCGCGCCGGUGGACGUCAAGUCGGCGGCGGCGGGCCGCGGGGGCGUGGGCGUGAGCACGAUCGUGGUGUCGCAGGACGGGACGGGGCACUCGCGGACCGUGCAGGGCGCCGUCGACAUGGUGCCCGCCGGGAACACGCGGCGGGUCAAGAUCCUCGUCAGGCCCGGGGUGUACAGGGAGAAGGUGACGGUGCCGAUCACGAAGCCGUUCGUGUCGCUGAUCGGCAUGGGGACCGGGCGCACGGUGAUCACUUGGAACGCGCGGGCGUCGGACAUCGACCGGUCGGGGCACCAGGUCGGCACCUUCUACUCCGCCUCCUUCGCCGUCGAGGCCGACUACUUCUGCGCAAGCCACAUCACCUUCGAGAACUCGGCCCCGGCCGCGCCGCCGGGAGCGGUGGGGAUGCAGGCGGUGGCGCUGCGGCUGUCCGGCGACAAGACCAUGCUGUACAGGUGCAGGAUACUGGGGACCCAGGAUACGCUGUUCGACAACAUCGGGAGGCACUACUUGUACAACUGCGACAUCCAGGGCUCCAUUGAUUUCAUUUUCGGGAACGCGAGGUCACUGUACCAGGGCUGCGCGCUGCACGCGGUGGCGACGAGCUACGGCGCGAUCGCGGCGUCGCAGCGGAGCUCGGCGUCGGAUGAGUCGGGGUUCUCGUUCGUGGGGUGCCGGCUGACCGGCUCCGGCAUGCUGUACCUGGGCAGGGCCUGGGGCAGGUACGCCCGGGUGGUGUACGCCUUCUGCGACCUCGGCGGCAUCGUCGUGCCCCAGGGCUGGAGCGACUGGGGCGACCGCGCCAGGACCAAGACGGUGAUGUUCGGGGAGUACAAGUGCAAGGGGCCCGGGGCGAGCUCGCGGCAGCGGGUGCCGUGGUCGCGGGCGCUCACCUACGAGGAGGCGCGCCCCUUCCUCGGCCGGGACUACAUCAACGGCGAGCAGUGGCUCCGGUUGUAG